This is a long non-coding RNA of Gastrolobium bilobum, 598 nucleotides long. RefSeq lists it as uncharacterized. The record is from RefSeq and is a predicted model, not a curated record. The transcript has 3 exons. Lineage: Eukaryota; Viridiplantae; Streptophyta; Magnoliopsida; Fabales; Fabaceae.
UUGGAAUUGUUCUUCUUCGGCUCAACAAUACCAAGGGAACCCAAAAGCCCAUAUGUUAUUGAAUCCUAAGGCCUAGAGUGCACAGUGCAUACGAAUCCCAUAUUUUAUUAUAUGGACUGCAUCAUUACAAAGGCGGGUCCAUGGACGACUGCAGAGACCAUGAUUCAGGGCCUCCCCAUUAUUUUGAAUGAUUGUAUUGCUGGACAGGGCUAGUGAGGAUGAAGUAACAAGUAAGAUUGUUACUGAGCCUGAGCACCAUGCUCAUACAAGAUCAAUAAAUGAUGAACUUACUGCAGUUUCCUUUCCUUCACGAGCUUGUCAGACAAAGAAGUUUCUAGCCAGUGACAUAAGCCGAGACAGGGAGAUUGGCUUCUUCCACUGGAAGAUUCAACAGUGUACAGCUACCCAGGAAAGGUAGAUAUAAUACCUACCAUUCCCUGUAACAGGGAAGGGAAGGUAUUUUCGGGCAAACAAGACCAAAUGGUACCUGAAUAGUUCCCAAGCAUAGAAUCUCAACUUUUGGCCAUGGUUUGGAUUUUGAUUUUGCAUUAUUAAGAGGAUAUGCUAAGGGACUAAUAUAAUUAAGUUAUUUAUAUUU